Non-coding RNA from Macaca mulatta (Rhesus monkey), 1253 nucleotides. The record is from RefSeq and is a predicted model, not a curated record. NCBI's taxonomy places the organism in Eukaryota, Metazoa, Chordata, Mammalia, Primates, Cercopithecidae.
GAUUCUCCUGCCUCAGCUUCCCGAGUAGCUGGGACUACAAGUGACAAAUGCUACAGUGACUCCCUGUUCUGCAUUCUACCACCCUCAAGUAUGGAGGCAGCAUGAAGUACUGGAAAGGGCAAGGUCUUUGGAGUCAGGCAGACCUCGUGGCCCAGCCUCAUCAUUAACUAGUGAGGGGACUAGAAUUUAACAGUCUCUUCAAUCAUGGAGCAUGUGGGAAUUUAAAUAUGGUCUGCAGACUCUAUGAGGCAAAAGAGGAGGGAGCAAAAGGAAGUCAGUAAGGGGCGAGAGAGCAAGAGGAAGACAUUGAAUCCGUAUGUACCACCUUAUGAAGGCUGUCAUGGAGCAAGCGCAUACUAAAAUAUUGUUCAUGUUUGUCUGACAUUCAAAUGUAACAGAUCACCCUGUAUUUUUAUGUGCUAAAUCUGGCCAUCCGUCUAUGCCUGUGGCUUGGGUUUUGCCAUUUCAGCGUCAGCGAGUGGAACCUCCUCCUAAUUACUCCCUGCUAAUUGGAACCAGCUGCCACCAGGAGGCAGCCGGGCGCUGCGUCCACCCAAGAUGAGGACAGUGUCUGAGAUUCUAGAGAACUCUGAGUCUACCUUCCUCUCGAACUCUCCUGACACUCAUUUCCAAUUCUAGCCACAACUUUCCACUGGUCUCUCCUAAUCUUGCUUUAGUAGAAUAGCCAAACUUUAAAAAAAAUUUAUACUCCAUUUAAAGGUAAAAAGAAUCCAUAACAUCACAUGCAUCUUGCCUCCCUAAAUAAUUGCAGUUAGAAAUUAAUUCAUCUUACUUUAAAAACCUAAAUUUAGCCUCAACUAGUCACAGCUCCUGUCACUCACCCCCUUGACCUGGGGGUCCCCUUUGCUCCCAGCUACUCCCCUGUCCCUGUCCUUGCUCCCUCUCUUCACUGUCCCCUUCCUUCUUCAGCCGUCACUAUGGUUACAGGGUGACCUGUUUCUGUGAUGCCCUCUUCCAUAGCCUGCUUCCGAGGUAAUUUCCCCAGUGAAUUCCACCUCCUCUCAGUUAUCUCUGCCCUUAUCCUCCUUCAAUGGGGGGGAAAAGAAUCAGAGAGAAAGAAAGCGCAUGCAUCCAGCAGCUCAGAUACCAGAAUUCUUUCUGUUACCAGGAGACUUUCUCCAAUCAAUGUUUCCUCUUUUUUUGUUUUCCUUCUUUAUGAGGAAAAGCUGUUCCCGACUCUGCCUCUUACUCUGGCGUAAACCUAAAUCCACUUAUAAAAGUUAACUAAACAC